This 258-nucleotide unclassified non-coding RNA is filed under the name Hevea brasiliensis (rubber tree). The record is from RNAcentral. Lineage: Eukaryota; Viridiplantae; Streptophyta; Magnoliopsida; Malpighiales; Euphorbiaceae.
AAAUGAACAUAAGCCAACCAAACACAUAAUCACAAGAAAAGGUUUGAUGGGAUGUCCGUACCAACCUCUCAAUUUUCCUUUGCUUCAAGAAGCAUUUCGACUACCUUUUUCAUCUUGGGACGUUUAGCCGGUGUGCUAUCAGUGCAUAACAAGGCAAUCUUCAGGACUGCAAGCAUUUGUUUCCUCCAAGCAAACGAUACGGUACUUAGCCUUGCAUCCAUUAUCUGCUCUGGGGUCUCGCCCCUUCCUGAUGCAUUG